CAGUAGCCGCGGUAAUGCGUAGGGGGCAAGCGUUAUCCGGAAUUAUUGGGCGUAAAGAGUGCGUAGGUGGUCUACUAAGCGCGAGGUGAAAGGCAAUGGCUCAACCAUUGUUAGCCUUGCGAACUGGCAGACUUGAGUGCAAGAGAGGAAAGCGGAAUUCCUAGUGUAGCGGUGAAAUGCGCAGAUAUUAGGAGGAACACCGGCGGCGAAGGCGGCUUUCUGGAUUGUAACUGACACUGAGGCACGAAAGCGUGGGUAGCAAACAGGAUUAGAUACCCCCGUAGUCCCUGUCUCUUAUACA
RNAcentral lists this ribosomal RNA (301 nucleotides) under uncultured bacterium. RNAcentral's name for it is "partial 16S ribosomal RNA". It matches the Rfam family "Bacterial small subunit ribosomal RNA", at positions 509 to 808 of the family's 1533-position model. The record is from RNAcentral.